Molecule: transfer RNA, 73 nt
Filed under: Metarhizium majus ARSEF 297
Lineage: Eukaryota; Fungi; Ascomycota; Sordariomycetes; Hypocreales; Clavicipitaceae
Rfam family: tRNA
About the family: Transfer RNA (tRNA) molecules are approximately 80 nucleotides in length. Their secondary structure includes four short double-helical elements and three loops (D, anti-codon, and T loops).
Source: Rfam by way of RNAcentral
AAUAUAAUAGCUUAAUAAUUAAAGCAUAUUAUUACUAAUAAUAAGGUGUUAGGUUUAAAUUCUAGCUAUAUUU